RNAcentral lists this long non-coding RNA (222 nucleotides) under Elaeis guineensis (African oil palm). Its description in RNAcentral is "long non-coding RNA (EGUI_LNC001322)". Lineage: Eukaryota; Viridiplantae; Streptophyta; Magnoliopsida; Arecales; Arecaceae. The record is from RNAcentral.
CAUUAUUCUUUCAGAUUGGAUUUUCUGUGUAUACAUCUGUGACACUCGGCCGCAAGAUUCUGCCCGCAUAGCCACAUUAUCCAUGAUACUGACAGUAAUUGUUAGUGUUAUUUGUACAUGUAAUUACUUGAUGGAUGAGCACAUUAUCUUCAUUUUGUGACCAUAAUAUCUAACUUGGCCAGUCUAGCAGGUUAUUGUUAACUUGGUCUUGGCCAGUACCAG